UAACACAUGCAAGUCGAGGGGCAGCAUGAAAGUUUGCUUGCAAACUUUUGAUGGCGACCGGCGCACGGGUGAGUAACACGUAUCCAACCUGCCUCAUACUCGGGGAUAGCCUUUCGAAAGAAAGAUUAAUACCCGAUGUCAUAGUCCUACCGCAUGAUGGGAUUAUUAAAGAAUUUCGGUAUGGGAUGGGAUGCGUUCCAUUAGUUAGUUGGCGGGGUAACGGCCCACCAAGACAACGAUGGAUAGGGGUUCUGAGAGGAAGGUCCCCCACAUUUGAACUGAGACACGGUCCAAACUCCUACGGGAGGCAGCAGUGAGGAAUAUUGGUCAAUGGACGAGAGUCUGAACCAGCCAAGUAGCGUGAAGGAUGACUGCCCUAUGGGUUGUAAACUUCUUUUAUAUGGGAAUAAAAUGUUCCACGUGUGGGAUUUUGUAUGUACCAUAUGAAUAAGGAUCGGCUAACUCCGUGCCAGCAGCCGCGGUAAUACGGAGGAUCCGAGCGUUAUCCGGAUUUAUUGGGUUUAAAGGGAGCGUAGGUGGAUUGUUAAGUCAGUUGUGAAAGUUUGCGGCUCAACCGUAAAAUUGCAGUUGAAACUGGCAGUCUUGAGUACAGUAGAGGUGGGCGGAAUUCGUGGUGUAGCGGUGAAAUGCUUAGAUAUCACGAAGAACUCCGAUUGCGAAGGCAGCUCACUGGACUGCAACUGACACUGAGGCUCGAAAGUGUGGGUAUCAAACAGGAUUAGAUACCCUGGUAGUCCACACAGUA
This 766-nucleotide ribosomal RNA is filed under the name uncultured bacterium. RNAcentral's name for it is "bacterial SSU rRNA". It matches the Rfam family "Bacterial small subunit ribosomal RNA", at positions 49 to 804 of the family's 1533-position model. The record is from RNAcentral.